This 252-nucleotide ribosomal RNA is filed under the name uncultured bacterium. RNAcentral's name for it is "partial 16S ribosomal RNA". It matches the Rfam family "Bacterial small subunit ribosomal RNA", at positions 524 to 775 of the family's 1533-position model. The record is from RNAcentral.
UACGUAGGGGGCGAGCGUUGUCCGGAGUUACUGGGCGUAAAGGGCACGUAGGCGGUCAUCGACGUUUGGGGUUACAGCUGCCGGCUUAACCGGCAGAGCGCCUCGAAAACGGGAUGACUUGAGGCCGCGAGAGGGACACAGAAUUCCGGGUGUAGUGGUGAAAUGCGUAGAUAUCCGGAGGAAUACCAAAGGCGAAGGCAGUGUCCUGGCGCGGGACUGACGCUGAGAGGCGAAAGCUAGGGGAGCGAACGG